AGAGUUUGAUCCUGGCUCAGGAUGAACGCUAGCGGCAGGCUUAACACAUGCAAGUCGAGGGGUAACAGGGUGCUUGCACCGCUGACGACCGGCGCACGGGUGCGUAACGCGUAUACAAUCUACCUUGUACUAGGGGAUAGCCUUUAGAAAUGAAGAUUAAUACCCUAUAGUCUAUUUGGAUGGCAUCAUUUAAAUAGUAAAGGUUACGGUACAUGAUGAGUAUGCGUCCUAUUAGUUUGUUGGUAAGGUAACGGCUUACCAAGACUACGAUAGGUAGGGGCCCUGAGAGGGGGAUCCCCCACACUGGUACUGAGACACGGACCAGACUCCUACGGGAGGCAGCAGUGAGGAAUAUUGGACAAUGGGCGAGAGCCUGAUCCAGCCAUGCCGCGUGCAGGAAGACGGCCCUAUGGGUUGUAAACUGCUUUUAUACAGGAAGAAACAGUCCCUCGUGAGGGAUCUUGACGGUACUGUAAGAAUAAGGACCGGCUAACUCCGUGCCAGCAGCCGCGGUAAUACGGAGGGUCCGAGCGUUAUCCGGAAUCAUUGGGUUUAAAGGGUCCGUAGGCGGGCAGCUCAGUCAGUGGUGAAAGUUUGCAGCUCAACUGUAAAAUUGCCAUUGAUACUGGUUGUCUUGAAUUAAUGUGAAGUGGUUAGAAUAUGUAGUGUAGCGGUGAAAUGCAUAGAUAUUACAUAGAAUACCAAUUGCGAAGGCAGAUCACUAACAUUAUAUUGACGCUGAUGGACGAAAGCGUGGGGAGCGAACAGGAUUAGAUACCCUGGUAGUCCACGCCGUAAACGAUGGAUACUAGCUGUUCGGUAGCAAUACUGAGUGGCUAAGCGAAAGUGAUAAGUAUCCCACCUGGGGAGUACGUUCGCAAGAAUGAAACUCAAAGGAAUUGACGGGGGCCCGCACAAGCGGUGGAGCAUGUGGUUUAAUUCGAUGAUACGCGAGGAACCUUACCAGGGCUUAAAUGUAGAUUGACAGGGGUGGAAACACCUUUUCCUUCGGGCAAUUUACAAGGUGCUGCAUGGUUGUCGUCAGCUCGUGCCGUGAGGUGUCAGGUUAAGUCCUAUAACGAGCGCAACCCCUGUUGUUAGUUGCCAGCGAGUCAAGUCGGGAACUCUAACAAGACUGCCGGUGCAAACCGUGAGGAAGGUGGGGAUGACGUCAAAUCAUCACGGCCCUUACGUCCUGGGCCACACAC
RNAcentral lists this ribosomal RNA (1208 nucleotides) under metagenome. RNAcentral describes it as "bacterial SSU rRNA". It matches the Rfam family "Bacterial small subunit ribosomal RNA", at positions 8 to 1221 of the family's 1533-position model. The record is from RNAcentral.